RNAcentral lists this ribosomal RNA (254 nucleotides) under uncultured bacterium. Its description in RNAcentral is "partial 16S ribosomal RNA". It matches the Rfam family "Bacterial small subunit ribosomal RNA", at positions 524 to 776 of the family's 1533-position model. The record is from RNAcentral.
UACGGAGGGUGCAAGCGUUUAUCCGGAUUCACUGGGUUUAAAGGGUGCGUAGGCGGCUAUAUAAGUCAGUGGUGAAAGCCCGCAGCUCAACUGCGGAACUGCCAUUGAAACUGCAUAGCUUGAAUCUGGUUGAAGUGGGCGGAAUACAUCAUGUAGCGGUGAAAUGCUUAGAUAUGAUGUAGAACACCGAUUGCGAAGGCAGCUCGCUAAGCCAACAUUGACGCUGAGGCACGAAAGCGUGGGUAGCGAACAGG